GUCUACAGCCAUGCUACAUGCCCGAUCCUGUCUGAUCUGGAAGCUAAGCAGGGUUGGGCCUGGUUAGUACUUAGAUGGGAGACCACCUAGGCAGACCAGAUAAUAUAGGUG
RNAcentral lists this ribosomal RNA (111 nucleotides) under Pteropus alecto (black flying fox). Lineage: Eukaryota; Metazoa; Chordata; Mammalia; Chiroptera; Pteropodidae. The record is from RNAcentral.